UACGAAGGGGGCUAGCGUUGCUCGGAAUCACUGGGCGUAAAGCGCACGUAGGCGGAUCUUUAAGUCAGGGGUGAAAUCCCAAGGCUCAACCUUGGAACUGCCUUUGAUACUGGGGAUCUCGAGUCCGGAAGAGGUUGGUGGAACUGCGAGUGUAGAGGUGAAAUUCGUAGAUAUUCGCAAGAACACCAGUGGCGAAGGCGGCCAACUGGUCCGGAACUGACGCUGAGGUGCGAAAGCGUGGGGAGCAAACAGGG
RNAcentral lists this ribosomal RNA (254 nucleotides) under uncultured bacterium. RNAcentral's name for it is "partial 16S ribosomal RNA". It matches the Rfam family "Bacterial small subunit ribosomal RNA", at positions 524 to 777 of the family's 1533-position model. The record is from RNAcentral.